CCCAGGACAACAGCUGCUUUAUUUUUAGGUAUCUUUUGAAGAAAGCUCAGUUUAUAACAUAUGCCACUGAUUUGGUAACAUCAGAGAUGUGGGGUGGGGGAAAGGCAAUCAAAAUGAUGCUUUGAAGUGAGAAUGAGCUGAUUUUAUAUCUGUGUGUCUGUAGUCCUGAGAUCUGAUAAGUAGGAGAACAAUUAAGAGAUUCAGAACUGGGGGAGGCUGUAUCUAAAUUUAGGAAAUUGAAAUACAGGGAUUGCCAUGAAAUUGACCUCUUCUCUGAUUUAACCUGAUGCUCCCAAAACAUUAAUCUUGCUUGUAUCACACCUAUCUCCAUUAGGUAUGUUCUGAGGACUAUAGGAUUUUCCCAUAUGAUUUGGAACUGAGAGCUUCUGUAUAUUUGAUCUCCUCCAUUAGAAUAUGAACUCUUUAAUAACAAGGAUUUCCUUAUUUUUUAAUUUGCAUUCUCAGCUUUGCACAUAGUAAAUGCUUAAUAGUAAAUAGUAAAUGCUUUUUUCCCUGACUUUUUCUCUUUCUUUCUCUCUUUCUUUCUUUCUUUCUUCUUUCUUUCUUUCUUUCUUUCUUUCUUUCUUUCUUUCUUUCUUUCUUUCUUUCUUUCUUUCUUUCUUUCUUUCUUUCUUUCUUUCUUUCUUUCUUUCUUUCUUUCUUUCUUUCUUUCUUUCUUUCUUUCUCUCUCCCUCCCUCCCAGCUUCCUUCCCUCCCUCCCUCUCUCCCUCACUUCCUCCCUCCCUCACGUCCUUCCUUCCUUCCUUCCUUCCUUCCUUCCUUCCUUCCUUCCUUCCUUCCUUCCUUCCUUCCUUCCUUCCUUCCUUCCUUCCUUCCUUCCUUCCUUCCUUCCUUCCUUCUGUAAUAUAACUGCAAUUCAAGGGCAGGGAGAGAAUGGAGUCUUCCCUCUCUGCUGGGUCAGGACCAGAGUGAGGUAAAGAUGGAGUUGAGUCAAGUAGAGAGAGAGGAUGGAUUGUCUUCCCUCUCAGCUCUCUCUGACAAACCCCAGUCUGGUUGCCUAUCAAGAUCUUAACUUCUGUUCACUCAGAGACCUUGACUAAACAAGCUUGAUACACUUAGUUUCCCUCUCCCUGGGGAGAGAGAUAUCACUUCCUUCCUCCCAACUUCAAAUCUCUCUCUAGAUGUGAUGGAGUCAGUCACUUGUUCUUAUUAAACAGUUUCAUUCUAGGGGAACAAGAUAAGGGAUAGGGCAGAUGGGUCAGGAAUGGGGCAGAAGGGAAGAGGGAGCAGGGGCUCCCUAGGAUAACUGAAAGUACUUCUCCCAAGAGUCUGACAGAUCAGGCUUUGUUGACUUCCCUGGGGUCAGUUAGAAGAAGUCCUGGCUCUAACUGCCUUGGCAGCUGUAGCCAGUCCAGGACUUUAGGGGAUCUGGAGGAAAUCUUUCUUCUGGUGAGCACUUUCCAGUCCUGGUCACUUGGUUGUCUUCUUGGGGCACUGGGGCAAGCUUUCACAGGAGGAGAUGCGUGCUCCUCAGAGAGGAGAAGAAUCUUCCCAACUGUCCAGUUCAGUUCACU
RNAcentral lists this long non-coding RNA (1535 nucleotides) under Monodelphis domestica (gray short-tailed opossum). RNAcentral describes it as "lncRNA (ENSMODG00000045518.1)". The record is from RNAcentral. Lineage: Eukaryota; Metazoa; Chordata; Mammalia; Didelphimorphia; Didelphidae.